CGCCGUGGUGGUGGGCGUGGGGCUCGCCUUCUUCGGCAUGGCGGUGGUCGCCUACGACCCCGGCCGCGGCAUCAUGGCCCGCCGCGGCGGCC
RNAcentral lists this transfer RNA (92 nucleotides) under Methylobacterium radiotolerans. RNAcentral describes it as "tRNA-Arg". The record is from RNAcentral. Lineage: Bacteria; Pseudomonadati; Pseudomonadota; Alphaproteobacteria; Hyphomicrobiales; Methylobacteriaceae.